Long non-coding RNA from Triticum dicoccoides, 1759 nucleotides. RefSeq lists it as uncharacterized. The transcript has 6 exons. NCBI's taxonomy places the organism in Eukaryota, Viridiplantae, Streptophyta, Magnoliopsida, Poales, Poaceae. The record is from RefSeq and is a predicted model, not a curated record.
CGUUGGUACGCGCUUUAGAGAUACGUGCCUUUUUUCUAUGCGCGUGCCAGAAAAUCGAGUCCUGUAUUGAAAUACAUACGGAUCUGACAAAAGGUUGGACGGUCGUCGGCCGAUGGUGAGGUGAGCCGCGGACCAGAAUCCACGUUCCCGUCUGAUCCGUGGCUCGGUAAUUUCGCUUUCCGUCCAGUGGAUCCAGACCCGAGAUGAAUGCAGGGACGAGAGAGUUCUUGGCUAGGGCGUGGUUCAGUUCGAAGCUGUGGACUGCUAGAUAGAAGCAAGGAGCGCCGACGGCCAGACACCCUGGGGUUUCUGAUGCAGCUAAUCGGCAGAUCCAGUGUCCUUGAGGAGGUUGGGGAAAACUUGGUGCCGGUUCCGGUGGCUGUGAGUGUCCCUGGGGUGGGGGAUUUGGAGGUGGCCCAGCAGGCGGAGCGCGAGGCAGCCGGCGGUGGACAGCGGCGACACACAAAUCUAGUUCGCACACGAAGCGGCGGCCAACAGAAGGGAGAGCUCGCCGGCGAUGUCGGAGCUGUCAACGGGAAAGAUGAAUCCCCAAGCACUGGGGUGGAUCAAAAGGCUUAGCAUUGGUGUUGCCGCACCUAGCAGAACACCAUUAUUUGCGGCUGGAUGGAGUUAUUGUAGGGCUCGUUUCCUCUCUGGAGCUCCUGGAAGUUUCAAUUGUGAAAUAGAGGAGCUUGUAGAGGCGAAGUCGGGCGUAGGAGACGACGCCAUUGAUGGAUUUCUUAAUGCAGCCUAUCAGCAGAUUCCAUGUGCUUUAAGAGGUGGAGGACAAUGAAGCGCCAUGGAUCUGCGACCUUACGUAGUGGCUGCUUUGGUGGGGGAGCUGGAACAAGCGCCGGUGCCAGUCUCAAGUGUAGACGCUUAGAUCUGGGAUGAAGAAGGGAGAACUCAACCCAGGUGUCCGAGCAGUCAACCGGCAAGAUGAACCUGCAAGCCCGGGGAUGGACUAAGAAUAAGAGGCUAGCUUCGCUGGCGUCUGCUCGACGGAGUGGUGCAUCCAUGGCAGCCGCGGCCGUCCUCCUCUUGCGAUGGUGCGGGGUCAGCGAUACGGUGCUUUCUUAGCGCCUCCAGCAACAGCGGCGCGACCUGGCGGCGUGAUACCACCAUGACUUGUAGCCAGGGCAGCGGCAGUCGUCCUCCCGGGGCGAGAGCGAGCAAUGGCGACGGCGAGCGAACGGGUUGUUUAUGGGCUGCACAGCAAUGUUGUUAUUCUUAUUUGUUUUCACCUUGCUGCUGUCGAAUGACGCAUGUGAUUUGAAUUCGACAUCCCUCUACCGUAAAUGUGCCCACACUGGCUCUACUUACAGAAGAUUUUGUUGAGUUUGGCCCCGAUGGUCAGUUGAGAACCAUUGGGUGAAGAUGUUUGUGACACAUCAUCGUUUACAAGGAGGGCUAAAUGUAUGGUAAAUGGGCAAUCACGUGGCGGCACGUCUGCGAUCUCCAUUUUCUGGAAGAACUGAUGUACGUACAUCUUUGAAAUGUUGGGCUAUGAAUUCAUGGAGAGGAUUAUGCACAAUAGUUUUCCAAGAGGAUUAUGCACAAUAGUUUUUCUAGGUUUGUGAGAUGUGGACGUGAUUAUGGACAAGUUCAGCUCGCUGGUGUGGGCGUGAUUGGAUGCAACAGUGUGGUGAUGCUGAAGCUCAAUUACGUCUUUACCUGAACUUCAAUUGCUUGUAAACAUACAACUCUUGAAUAAGAUUACUUGUUGCUGCAAGAGUUUAAUGCGUUCUGCAUUGAUAAC